CCAGCUCCAAUAGCGUAUAUUUAAGUUGCUGCAGUUAAAAAGCUCGUAGUUGGAUUUCGGGCGGGGCCUGCCGGUCCGCCGUUUCGGUGUGCACUGGCCGGGCCCGCCUUGUUGCCGGGGACGGGCUCCUGGGCUUCACUGUCCGGGACUCGGAGUCGGCGCUGUUACUUUGAGUAAAUUAGAGUGUUCAAAGCAGGCCUACGCUCUGAAUACAUUAGCAUGGAAUAACACGAUAGGACUCUGGCCUAUCCUGUUGGUCUGUAGGACCGGAGUAAUGAUUAAGAGGGACAGUCGGGGGCAUUCGUAUUUCGAUGUCAGAGGUGAAAUUCUUGGAUUUUCGAAAGACGAACUACUGCGAAAGCAUUUGCCAAGGAUGUUUUCA
RNAcentral lists this ribosomal RNA (382 nucleotides) under uncultured Compactochlorella. Its description in RNAcentral is "SSU rRNA". It matches the Rfam family "Eukaryotic small subunit ribosomal RNA", at positions 585 to 972 of the family's 1831-position model. Lineage: Eukaryota; Viridiplantae; Chlorophyta; Trebouxiophyceae; Chlorellales. The record is from RNAcentral.